UACGAGGGGGGCGAGCGUUGUUCGGAAUUAUUGGGCGUAAAGGGUGCGUAGGCGGUUUGAUAAGUCUGAUGUGAAAUCUAUGGGCUCAACCCAUAGCCUGCAUUAGAAACUGUCGGGCUUGAGUAUGGGAGAGGUGAGUGGAAUUCCCAGUGUAGAGGUGAAAUUCGUAGAUAUUGGGAAGAACACCGGUGGCGAAGGCGGCUCACUGGCCCGAAACUGACGCUCAUGCACGACAGCGUGGGGAUCAAACAGG
This 253-nucleotide ribosomal RNA is filed under the name uncultured bacterium. Its description in RNAcentral is "partial 16S ribosomal RNA". It matches the Rfam family "Bacterial small subunit ribosomal RNA", at positions 524 to 776 of the family's 1533-position model. The record is from RNAcentral.